This 65-nucleotide transfer RNA is filed under the name Macaca tonkeana (Tonkean macaque). RNAcentral's name for it is "tRNA-Lys". Lineage: Eukaryota; Metazoa; Chordata; Mammalia; Primates; Cercopithecidae. The record is from RNAcentral.
CACUGUACAGCUACCCUAGCGUUAACCUUUUAAGUUAGAGAUGGGGGACACACCUCCUACAGUGA